RNAcentral lists this ribosomal RNA (223 nucleotides) under uncultured bacterium. Its description in RNAcentral is "partial 16S ribosomal RNA". It matches the Rfam family "Bacterial small subunit ribosomal RNA", at positions 111 to 334 of the family's 1533-position model. The record is from RNAcentral.
UAACGCGUGGAUAACCUGCCUCACACUGGGGGAUAACAGUUAGAAAUGACUGCUAAUACCGCAUAAGCGCACAGUGCCGCAUGGUACAGUGUGAAAAACUCCGGUGGUGUGAGAUGGAUCCGCGUCUGAUUAGCCAGUUGGCGGGGUAACGGCCCACCAAAGCGACGAUCAGUAGCCGACCUGAGAGGGUGACCGGCCACAUUGGGACUGAGACACGGCCCAA